RNAcentral lists this ribosomal RNA (829 nucleotides) under metagenome. Its description in RNAcentral is "bacterial SSU rRNA". It matches the Rfam family "Bacterial small subunit ribosomal RNA", at positions 690 to 1520 of the family's 1533-position model. The record is from RNAcentral.
UCAGAUCGGCUCAGAGGAUACCGAUUGCGAAGGCGAUCUACUGGAACAUUAUUGACGCUCAGAUGCGAAAGCGUGGGGAGCAAACAGGAUUAGAUACCCUGGUAGUCCACGCCCUAAACGAUGCACACUAGUUGUUGCCUUGCUAGACAAGGCAGUAAUGCAGUUAACACAGUAAGUGUGCCGCCUGGGGAGUACGGUCGCAAGAUUAAAACUCAAAGGAAUAGACGGGGACCCGCACAAGCGGUGGAGCAUGUGGUUUAAUUCGACGAUACGCGAAGAACCUUACCUGGCCUUGACAUAGAAAGAACUUACUAGAGAUAGUUUGGUGCUAGCUUGCUAGAACUUUCAUACAGGUGCUGCACGGCUGUCGUCAGCUCGUGUCGUGAGAUGUUGGGUUAAGUCCCGCAACGAGCGCAACCCUCGUGUUUAGUUACUAACAGUUCGGCUGAGGACUCUAGACAGACUGCCUACGCAAGUAGGAGGAAGGUGAGGACGACGUCAAGUCAUCAUGGCCCUUACGGCCAGGGCUACACACGUGCUACAAUGGGGCAUACAAAGAGCCGCAAUACGGUGACGUGGAGCAAAUCUCAUAAAAUGCCUCCCAGUUCGGAUUGUAGUCUGCAACUCGACUACAUGAAGUUGGAAUCGCUAGUAAUCGUAGAUCAGCUAUGCUACGGUGAAUACGUUCCCGGGUCUUGUACUCACCGCCCGUCACACCAUGGGAGUUGAUUUCAUUCGAAGCGGGGAUGCUAAAAUAGCUACCUUCCACAGUGGAAUUAGCGACUAGGGUGAAGUCGUAACAAGGUAACCGUAGGAGAACCUGCGGUUG